This 403-nucleotide ribosomal RNA is filed under the name uncultured bacterium. RNAcentral's name for it is "partial 16S ribosomal RNA". It matches the Rfam family "Bacterial small subunit ribosomal RNA", at positions 30 to 526 of the family's 1533-position model. The record is from RNAcentral.
UUUGAACGCUGGCGGCAGGCCUAACACAUGCAAGUCGAGCGAGCGGCGGACGGGUGAGUAAUGUAUGGGGACUGCCCGAUAGCGGGGGAUAACUACUGGAAACGGUGGCUAAUACCGCAUACUAUCGGAUAACCCAUAUGGGAUUAGCCAGUAGGUGGGGUAAAGGCUCACCUAGGCGACGAUCUCUAGCUGGUCUGAGAGGAUGAUCAGCCACACUGGGAGUGAGACAGGGCCCAGACUCCUCCGGAGGCAGCAGUGGGGAAUAUUGCACAAUGAGCGCAAGCCUGAUGCAUCCAUGCCAGGUUUAUGAAGAAGGCCUUAGGGUUGUAAAGUACUUUCAGCGGGGAGGCGUUGCCCGCAGAAGAAGCACCGGCUAACUCCGUGCCAGCAGCCGCGGUAAUAC